RNAcentral lists this ribosomal RNA (99 nucleotides) under uncultured bacterium. RNAcentral's name for it is "partial 16S ribosomal RNA". It matches the Rfam family "Bacterial small subunit ribosomal RNA", at positions 1386 to 1482 of the family's 1533-position model. The record is from RNAcentral.
CACACCGCCCGUCACACCAUGGGAGUUGGUCUUACCUUAAGACGGUGUGCUAACCAGCAAUGGAGGCAGCCGGCCACGGUAAGGUCAGCGACUGGGGUG